Octopus sinensis (East Asian common octopus) is the source of this 225-nucleotide long non-coding RNA. RefSeq lists it as uncharacterized. The record is from RefSeq and is a predicted model, not a curated record. NCBI's taxonomy places the organism in Eukaryota, Metazoa, Mollusca, Cephalopoda, Octopoda, Octopodidae. The transcript is spliced from 3 exons.
UUUGUAUUUUUUUCAUAGCUCCCAUGGUUACCGACAUAAUCUGCAAUAAUAAUACUGUUGUAUUUAGGAAUAAGAAAGGAAGGGAUGAUAGAUAAAUAAGGAAGGGAGGAGUGAUGUCAUAUUUGGUAGUGGGAUGAUGAAAAUUUACGCUGAAAAAUUAAUCAAACAGCGUUUCAACUCUGUGUGAAUAUGUGUGUAUAUAAAAGGGGAUGUAUGAGUGUGUGU